GCGGGGAUGCCGGAGCGGCCAAACGGGACAGGCUUAGGACCUGUUGGCUUAGGCAAGACGUAAGUCUUGGCAGGACAAGACCAUAGUCUUGGAGUAGUGCCUGCGAGGGUUCGAAUCCUUCUCCCCGCA
This 129-nucleotide transfer RNA is filed under the name Candidatus Woesearchaeota archaeon. RNAcentral's name for it is "tRNA-Leu". It matches the Rfam family "tRNA". Rfam says of the family: Transfer RNA (tRNA) molecules are approximately 80 nucleotides in length. Their secondary structure includes four short double-helical elements and three loops (D, anti-codon, and T loops). Further hydrogen bonds mediate the characteristic L-shaped molecular structure. tRNAs have two regions of fundamental functional importance: the anti-codon, which is responsible for specific mRNA codon recognition, and the 3' end, to which the tRNAs corresponding amino acid is attached (by aminoacyl-tRNA synthetases). tRNAs cope with the degeneracy of the genetic code in two manners: having more than one tRNA (with a specific anti-codon) for a particular amino acid; and 'wobble' base-pairing, i.e. permitting non-standard base-pairing at the 3rd anti-codon position. Lineage: Archaea; Nanobdellati; Candidatus Woesearchaeota. The record is from RNAcentral.